RNAcentral lists this unclassified non-coding RNA (433 nucleotides) under soil metagenome. RNAcentral describes it as "partial contains 5.8S ribosomal RNA, internal transcribed spacer 2, and large subunit ribosomal RNA". The stretch from base 1 to 120 matches the Rfam family "5.8S ribosomal RNA", at positions 35 to 154 of the family's 154-position model. The record is from RNAcentral.
GAUGAAGAACGUAGCGAAAUGCGAUACGUAAUGUGAAUUGCAGAAUUCAGUGAAUCAUCGAAUCUUUGAACGCAUAUUGCGCUCUCUGGUAUUCCGGAGAGCAUGCUUGUUUGAGUAUCAGUAAACACCUCAACUUCCAUAUCUUUUUUUGAAAUGGGAGUUGGACUUGAGUGAUCCCAACGCUUUUCCUCACCGAAAAGUGGCGGGUUACUUGAAAUGCAGGUGCAUCUGGACUUUUCUCUGAGCUAUAAGCAUAUCUAUUUAGUCUGCCUAAAAAACAGAUUAUUACCUUUGCUGCAGCUAACAUAAAGGAGAUUAGUUCUUGUGCUGACUGAUGCAGGAUUCACAAAGACAGCUUCGGCCGACUUUGUAAACUCGAUCUCAAAUCAAGUAAGACUACCCGCUGAACUUAAGCAUAUCAAUAAGCGGAGGA